GAUGAACGCUAGCGGUGCGCCUAACACAUGCAAGUCGAGCGUGAUUACAUUGUAGCUUGCUAUGAUGUAUGAAAGCGGCGAACGGGUGAGUAACACGUUGGUAUCUGCCUUUUGGUCAGGGAUAGCCAGUAGAAAUGCUGAAUAAUACCGGAUAGUCUCGAGAGAGUAAAGCUUUAUCGCUAGAAGAGGAACUUGCGGCCUAUCAGCUAGUUGGUGAGGUAAUAGCUCACCAAGGCAAUGACGGAAAGUUGAUCUGAGAGGAUGACCAGCCACACAGGAACAGAGACACGGCCCAGACUCCUAGGGUAGGCAGCGGUGGGGAAUAUUGCACAAUGGGCGCAAGCGUGAUGCAGCCAUGCCGCGUGUAUGAAGGAGGCCUUCGGGUUGUAAAGUACUUUCAGCGGGGAGGAAGGUGUUGAGGUUAAUAACCUCAGCAGUUGACGUUACCCGCAGAAGAAGCACCGGCUAACUCCGUGCCAGCAGCCGCAGUAA
Molecule: ribosomal RNA, 492 nt
Filed under: uncultured bacterium
Lineage: Bacteria
Description: partial 16S ribosomal RNA
Rfam family: Bacterial small subunit ribosomal RNA
Source: RNAcentral